AUAACUUGCUCUUUAGAAAACUAACUCCCCAGGAGACCAGCAUUAUUACCUUCUGAGGGUGAUACCCCAGUGGCCUAACCACCUUCCAUAGGUUCCACCUCUCAAAUAAAGAAGCUGAUGUUCAGAGCUGAAGAACUUGCUGAAGAUCACAAAGCUGGGUCAGCAGUUAAAUCAGGAUUGCAAGGCGGGCUUAUCUGCCUCCAAAGACUUCAACCCUUUCUGCACACUCCCACUGUUUCUGUAAGAAAAAAACGGCAGGCCUCAAGUUGAAGAAACGGUAAAUAACGCCUCAUUUUACAACUACAAACAAGUAAAAUGUCAUAAAGCGGGGAAGAAAACAACCCAAAGGAAAAUGGAAAGG
Molecule: non-coding RNA, 361 nt
Organism: Ictidomys tridecemlineatus (thirteen-lined ground squirrel)
Lineage: Eukaryota; Metazoa; Chordata; Mammalia; Rodentia; Sciuridae
Source: RefSeq, a predicted model, not a curated record